CAAAAGGAAUUCCUGUAGGAAUCCCGAAAUUCAAUUCCUGUAGGACUCCCCAGAUGAAAUUUCAAACAAAAACCUUGAAAGCUCAAGCAACACGCAUAUCUCAAAAAAUUCACGGUUGCGCAGGUGUUGGUUGUGCAGAAGUCAUUGUGACUGACUUCUAACAAAUUAGUACUUACUUGCUGAAAGUAUGCCACAAAACCCGCGCUGCCAUGACUCUUCAAUGACAUGUGUGUGGCUUGGGGUCAUUCCUUAAAUUACCCUAAACUUGUGUAACAGUCCAGAGGAAACUCUGCAAUAAAUUUCUGAAGCAAUUCCCGAAGCAAUUUAUGAGGAAAUUCCCACAGAGAAAUCUUGGAGGAAUCUCAACAUAUAAUUCCUUCUUGAAUCCACAGCAAAAACUCCUGCAGAAAACCCAUAUUUUUUUGUAACAUUACGAUAAAAUUCAUUAUUCAUGGGAAAAUCCUCUGACCAACUUCCGGAAGGAAUCUCCAGUUCUUCACACCGUGAAAAAAAUCCCGAAUGGAAUAUUUGGAAAGAUUUGCUGGAUGGAAUCUCCAUGGAAAGAAACUUCAGAAGGAAUCCUAGAAAUGAUCUCCUGGCGGUAUCCUGUAAGAAAUUCAUGAUGCCUGGAGGUAUCUCCAAGAGGAACUCUUAGACGAACACCCAGCUGGAUAACAUGGAUAAAUCUACAGGAAUAGUGUUAAAUUAGUGAACGUUAAAAUACACGUAAAUAAACAUUG
Molecule: long non-coding RNA, 740 nt
Organism: Aedes albopictus (Asian tiger mosquito)
Lineage: Eukaryota; Metazoa; Arthropoda; Insecta; Diptera; Culicidae
Exons: 2
Source: RefSeq, a predicted model, not a curated record